This 1144-nucleotide ribosomal RNA is filed under the name uncultured organism. RNAcentral describes it as "bacterial SSU rRNA". It matches the Rfam family "Bacterial small subunit ribosomal RNA", at positions 286 to 1461 of the family's 1533-position model. The record is from RNAcentral.
GGGGGCGUGAGAGCGCGAUCCCCCACACUGGCACUGAGAUACGGGCCAGACUCCUACGGGAGGCAGCAGUGAGGAAUAUUGCCCAAUGGGCGAAAGCCUGAGGCAGCAACGCCGCGUGGGUGAUGAAGGCCUUCGGGUUGUAAAACCCUUUUCUGGGAGAAGAGAAAGGACGGUAUCCCAGGAAUAAGCGUCGGCUAACUACGUGCCAGCAGCCGCGGUAAAACGUAGGACGCAAGCGUUAUCCGGAUUUACUGGGCGUAAAGAGCGUUGAGGCGGUUCCGUAAGUUGGACGUGAAAGCUCCCGGCUUAACUGGGAGAGGCCGUUCAAUACUGCGGGACUUGAGGACAGCAGAGGGGGGUGGAAUUUCCGGUGUAGUGGUGAAAUGCGUAGAUAUCGGAAGGAACACCAGUGGCGAAGGCGGCCCCCUGGGCUGUUUCUGACGCUGGAGGCGAAAGCUAGGGGAGCAAACGGGAUUAGAAACCCCGGUAGUCCUAGCCGUAAACGAUGGAUACUAGGUGUGGGAGAUGGAAAAGUUUUCCGUGCCGGAGCUAACGCGUUAAGUAUCCCGCCUGGGGAUUACGACCGCAAGGUUAAAACUCAAAGGAAUUGACGGGAGCCCGCACAAGCAGCGGAGCGUGUGGUUUAAUUCGAUGCUACGCGAAGAACCUUACCAGGGUUUGACAUGCAAGUGGUAGUGAAGCGAAAGCGGAACGACCCUUCGGGGAGCUUGCACAGGUGCUGCAUGGCUGUCGUCAGCUCGUGCCGUGAGGUGUUAGGUUAAGUCCUGUAACGAGCGCAACCCCUGCUGUCAGUUAUAUGUGUCUGACAGGACUGCCCGGCUCAACCGGGAGGAAGGUGGGGAUGACGUCAAGUCAGCAUGGCCUUUAUAUCCUGGGCUACACACACGCUACAGUGGCCAGUACAAUGGGUAGCCAAGCCGUGAGGCGGAGCCAAUCCUCCAAAGCUGGUCUCAGUUCGGAUUGUAGGCUGCAACUCGCCUACAUGAAGCUGGAGUUGCUAGUAACCGCAGGUCAGCCACACUGCGGUGAUACGUUCCCGGGCUUUGACACACCGCCCGUCACGUCAUGGGAGUCGGCAACACCUGAAGCCGGUGGGCUAACCGAAAGGAAGCAGCCGUCGAAG